Molecule: small RNA, 158 nt
Filed under: Paenibacillus phocaeensis
Lineage: Bacteria; Bacillati; Bacillota; Bacilli; Caryophanales; Paenibacillaceae
Description: ydaO/yuaA leader
Rfam family: c-di-AMP riboswitch aptamer (ydaO/yuaA leader) (bases 6-147)
About the family: This family represents a conserved RNA structure found upstream of the ydaO and yuaA genes in Bacillus subtilis and related genes in other bacteria. The ydaO/yuaA element is thought to act as a genetic "off" switch for the ydaO and yuaA genes in its native state.
Source: RNAcentral
AAUAGGCCGAAACCUGAACCUAGGUGCGGAGGACGAAAGAUGAGAACGAACCGUGUUGAACGUCUUCGUUUUCUUGGGGUGAAGCGCAUCCAUCGGUUGCGCCGGGAACGAUCCUUUUUCCCGAAUCCGACAACUAACUCCGCAGGCGCAGUAAAAGG